AGUCUGUACCUGGCUUCCUUUGGAUGAAGACAUAGACCUCUCAGCUCCUCCAGCACCAUGCCUGCCUGAAUGCUGCUAUGUUUCCUUCCAUGAUAAUAAUGGACUGAACCUGACCUCACUAUGUACACCAGACUGUUCUUGAAGUCACAAAGAUCUGCCUGCUUCUGCCUCUUAGGGGAAGGGAUCAAAAGCAUGCACCUCUAUACCCAGCCUAGACUACACACACACACACACACACACACACACACACACACAAAGAGAUACACAUAUAUGCAAAUGCAUAGUUGCACAUAUAUCUGCACACUAUGGCUGUAGUGUGUCUGCCUUAGGAGCUAGUAUAGAGGCAUAACCUGUAAUCCUAGCACUAGGAAGACAGACAAGAGAUGGCAAGGCCAGCUUAGGCUUCACAGUAAGUUCUGAACUGAAGAACAAACCCUUGUCUCGAAAAGGAAAGGGAAGAAAGGAUGGAAAGGAAGAGAGAGGAAGUAACUUUUAUUAGGAGUAGAAAUGGAAUAUGGAGCAAGAGGAGUUUCCAUUCCCUCCUGGUGGAUGAACAGCUGACAUGGAGAGCAACUUGACAGUGUAUCACGGACACAAAUCUGCAUUCAUUGUCACUGUCACUGGUAGCUUUGCAGAUGCCCUUGGGAAUGUACCAAGAAGCAGCAAAACUAUGGGCAAUAUUUCUAAAAGCAUCGAAGACAGAGGCAAAAGCUGUGGACAGCACAGAUACAUAAGAGCAGAAUAAAGGACUGAUA
This is a non-coding RNA of Rattus norvegicus (Norway rat), 755 nucleotides long. The record is from RefSeq and is a predicted model, not a curated record. NCBI's taxonomy places the organism in Eukaryota, Metazoa, Chordata, Mammalia, Rodentia, Muridae.